AGGAAGUAGGCUGACUGUUUUCAGGG
Molecule: non-coding RNA, 26 nt
Filed under: Mus musculus (house mouse)
Lineage: Eukaryota; Metazoa; Chordata; Mammalia; Rodentia; Muridae
Source: RNAcentral